GACCUAUCCUGGAUUUAGGGAAUUUAAACAUGACAGUGAUAACAUUUUUGUAAUAAGGGUAUCGGAUAGGUACUAGUUGUAGCACCAAUUUCAGCCCUUUUGCUGGCGGUUUAAUCUUGAUUCUACCUGUUGAGCAUUUUUACUACAGCUUUGGCCCCAGCCAGGCUUCAGUAAGGAAAGAUCUGAGUAGGCCACUGUGCGUCCUACACAAGCCUUGUUGAGUAAAAUUGUGUUCCUUUUCACUAUGGUUAAUUAUGGGAACAAGAUAAGGGUGGCAGAAUGCCUCUCUGGUGGGGCCCCUCUUUGUAUUGUACGCACGUGCUGGUGAGAGCUGGGACUUGGGGCAUGGCCAGUCUGGGACAGGCCAUGCCAGAUCGGGCUGCAGUGCCCCCUGGCAAGUGUAAGAUCUGUAGCUGGGAGGGGCCUGAUAGCGGAACUGUGGGGCACUGUCCUAUUAGGUUGUAGCUGCUGCUGGUGAGCAUGAGAGCCAAUGCUGGGGGCAGGCAAGACUGGGUAAGGUGACAGCACCUCUUGGCAUACAUGUGGGCCAGGCUGAGCCAAGCCACACCACCCAUGGAUGUGCAUGACAGCCAGAGGGAAUGCAGAACAACUUGGGCAAUAAUACAUGCCAGCACACACAAAAACCAGGGUUGGUGGCAGGUUUGGUGGGAGCUUUGGGAUCACCCCAACUAGGCCAAGGCACCUACUGGUGUGUAAUGACCGGGCCUGUGGAAAGGUGAGCUGGGCCAGGCUACAGCACCCAUCAGUUCAUGUGAGAUGGGGCUGGAGGCAGAGCUGACCAGCCAGCUGAACCUAUCAGUAUACACAUUUGCUGAUGUAGGUAAUAGGUCAAACCUCACCCUGCACUGGCUGGCACCAGAUCAAUGGACUCAAACCCUGGCCACAGGGAAAAAUCACAAAAUAUGUGGUCCCACCUUGGAGUGUAUGUAUCAGGACAGGACCUCCUCAGCUGGUGAUGCCUGUGCAAUGGACAGCAUGGCCAAAAGAACACAGAAGACGUGACAGUCAACUCGUCUAGGCCAGCAGGGGAAGUCAAGGGCAUCAUCACAGGAUGGACAGUAGAACAGGUUGAAUAAAAACAAGCGACUGUUUAACAAAGGAAUUAAGUAGUGAUACGUAAUAUCAGUAAGGAAUGAAAAGAUUUUUCUCAACGGGAAGUCAGGCACAAUGGGAUGGAAUUGUGGCUCUAGAAAUCAGAGUCCAACAGGACAAUCCGAGAGGCCCUCUCAGCUGUCCUCAGUGUAGCCCUGCUUACCCACCGACUCAUCAAGACGGAAGGCGGACAGCGGCUGGCAUUGCACUAGCGGUUGUUUUCCUAUUUGGAGGUGAUAAGACAGGAUUGGAAACUUAUCGUCUAAAACCAAUAUAAGUGGAAAUUUCAGUAUUUCUUAGCACAACUUGGCAAAUGACUUUCACGAAUUGAUUUCUAAACACAUAAAUAAUGAAGCCACCGAAGUGUUUUCACCCACUGAGCAGCAGCUUGGCCACGUAAAAAGCAGCAACAUGAUUGUCAAUUGUACCUCUUCAUCAAAAUGUGAAAGAUUAUUUCUCCAAAGGUCUUGACAGCUUGAUAACUACAGAAGGAACAUCUUAUGCUAAGAGCGUGAUUCCCUCACCUUCGGUGAUCGGCUCGCCAGCGCAGGCCCAGGCGGGAGACUGCUGAAACUCUGAAAAGGAAUUCAAGGUGGCUAGUGCCAUGGUUUUCAAGGUCCUGCGGAAGUAUCUGGGGACAGCCUGAUCCAGAGCAGCUCUGAUUUUACAGUUUCUCUCUUGGAUGUUGAACAAUCAUUUGAAGACUUCUGGGGCUGAGAAAGAAUCCCUUCGGCUGCUGACUGGUCCAUGUUGCCUCCUCCGGAGACCAGACUUGGCUGCACAGUACUUUCUUUUUGUAAAACUUCAGCACACUGCCUCAUUCUCUUGAGGACCACAGAGUCAGAAGGGUAUUCUGAAGCUGAUAAAAAAAAGCAUUCUGUAGGAGCAAAAUUUGGUCUAACCAACUAUUACAUCCUUGAUGUAAAUGAAGAAACAAACAAAAAAUGCUUUUGCAUAAAUGAAGCUUAUUUAAACAGAUUAUACCCAAUAGGCUGCACUUUUCCCACAAUCACAAGUCAAAGAAUUCUAUCUUUUCAGGAAUCAUCAGUAGACAAUGACUGGUUUCUCAAGUCUUAGACAUGACAUGAUGACCGGCGUCAUUAUUUACAACUUACAAGUACAUCUUUAAGUACUCUUCUAUGAUGCUAGCAUGGUAAAACACAUAGCUGUCUGUCUCAGGCUUGCUGGAUACUUUGUUGUGUCAACAAUUACAAGGAAGUUCUGAAAAGGUAAUUGCAAGAGCCAGCUUGGCAUCGAGUUGAGCGGACUUUGCUGAUGCUCAUGUUGAUGUGUGCAUGGUUUGCAUGCAGAGGAGAACAGCAUCGAAACACCCAGACAGCCUAGAGCAUCAGAAAGCACACGAGCAAGCAGCGCUUGAUUUCUAUGAAUAAAGCUCGAAUCAGGUGGUUCUGACAAUUAAAAAUCAAGUUAUCUUUUUGAAAGGUGUAUCACUCUAGUAGGACUGCAGAAUGGCAAAUAUUUCCUCCAUUAUUUGGAUACAGCUUAAUUCAGAAUCCUGAUUUAGGGAAUGCUCGUGUUGGGAGAACAAUGAACUCAACGCAUACCAGGUAGGCUUGAGACAACUUGGAAACGUGGCAUCGAGGGGAACUUGAGAAAAAGUCCUUGCAGUAUUGUAAAAGUCAGUGAUUAUUCAUCUAUUUACAAUAAAAUUUAGAACAGUAUUAACCAUUUUAGACCAAUUCAGACUAAUAAGAGAAAAUAUUAAAACAAAGGUGUCCUUAUGCUGUGACAUUGCAAGGUACAGAUUAAUACAGGGUAGGGAGUCUGUAUCACAAAUUACGUCAAAUUCAUUGCAAUAACUUGCAGAGACCUUCAUGAAGUUCAUUCUUGGUACUUUGUCAUCUUUAGAAAUAAAUAACACCUUUCCAAUUUAGCUGUAAGUUUGGAAUGUGUCAUAAUUCAUACAGGGAAGGAGUUUAAACUUUAUAUCCUGAGGAAAAAGUUGGUUUGGAAAAGAUAAAUAAGCAAAAAUGCUUAAUGUAUUUUAAAGAAUAAU
Molecule: long non-coding RNA, 3130 nt
Organism: Ochotona curzoniae (black-lipped pika)
Lineage: Eukaryota; Metazoa; Chordata; Mammalia; Lagomorpha; Ochotonidae
Exons: 3
Source: RefSeq, a predicted model, not a curated record